UACGGAGGGUGCAAGCAUUAAUCGGAUUUAUUGGGCGUAAAGGGCGCGUAGGCGGGAAGGUAAGUCAGAUGUGAAAUCCCGGGGCUCAACCCCGGAACAGCAUUUGAAACUGCCUUUCUUGAGGGUAGAUGGAGAGAAUGGAAUUCCACAAGUAGCGGUGAAAUGCGUAGAUAUGUGGAAGAACACCAGUGGCGAAGGCGAUUCUCUAAUUUAUUCCUGACGCUAAAGCGCGAAAGCUAGGGGAGCAAACAGG
Molecule: ribosomal RNA, 253 nt
Filed under: uncultured bacterium
Lineage: Bacteria
Description: partial 16S ribosomal RNA
Rfam family: Bacterial small subunit ribosomal RNA
Source: RNAcentral